This 351-nucleotide unclassified non-coding RNA is filed under the name soil metagenome. RNAcentral's name for it is "partial contains 5.8S ribosomal RNA, internal transcribed spacer 2, and large subunit ribosomal RNA". The stretch from base 1 to 120 matches the Rfam family "5.8S ribosomal RNA", at positions 35 to 154 of the family's 154-position model. The record is from RNAcentral.
GAUGAAGAACGCAGCGAAAUGCGAUAAGUAAUGUGAAUUGCAGAAUUCAGUGAAUCAUCGAAUCUUUGAACGCACAUUGCGCCCGCCAGUAUUCUGGCGGGCAUGCCUGUUCGAGCGUCAUUACAACCCUCAGGCCCCCGGGCCUGGCGUUGGGGAUCGGCGGAAGCCCCCUGCGGGCACAACGCCGUCCCCCAAAUACAGUGGCGGUCCCGCCGCAGCUUCCAUUGCGUAGUAGCUAACACCUCGCAACUGGAGAGCGGCGCGGCCACGUCGUAAAACACCCAACUUCUGAAUGUUGACCUCGAAUCAGGUAGGAAUACCCGCUGAACUUAAGCAUAUCAUAGCGGAGGA